AUUCUUCAAGACAUACGUGCCAAAUACGGCCCUAUCAUCACCCUCCGCAUCGGCUCUCGCCCUGCCAUCUUCGUCGCCAGUAACUCCCUCGCCCAUCAAGCUCUUGUCCAAAACGGAGCUGCUUUCGCCGACCGUCCUCCGGCCCUUGCUGUCAGCAAAAUAAUUACCAGUAAUCAGCACAAUAUCAGCUCUGCCUCCUAUGGACCAACUUGGCGGCUUCUCCGCCGUAACCUCACCUCUGAAAUCCUCCACCCUUCGCGUAUCAAAUCCUAUUCCCACGCUCGCAAAUGGGUUCUCGAUAUUCUU
RNAcentral lists this long non-coding RNA (306 nucleotides) under Manihot esculenta (cassava). RNAcentral describes it as "long non-coding RNA (MESC_LNC005059)". The record is from RNAcentral. Lineage: Eukaryota; Viridiplantae; Streptophyta; Magnoliopsida; Malpighiales; Euphorbiaceae.